AGGACGAACGCUGGCGGCGUGCUUAACACAUGCAAGUCGAACGCUGAAGCCCUUCGGGGUGGAUGAGUGGCGAACGGGUGAGUAACACGUGGGCAACCUGCCCUGCACUCUGGGAUAACUUCGGGAAACCGGAGCUAAUACCGGAUAACAUCCUCCUCCGCAUGGUGGGGGGUUGAAAGUUCCGGCGGUGCAGGAUGGGCCCGCGGCCUAUCAGCUUGUUGGUGGGGUAGUGGCCUACCAAGGCGACGACGGGUA
Molecule: ribosomal RNA, 255 nt
Filed under: uncultured bacterium
Lineage: Bacteria
Description: partial small subunit ribosomal RNA
Rfam family: Bacterial small subunit ribosomal RNA
Source: RNAcentral